AGUGGCGGACGGGUGAGUAACGCGUGAGAAUCUGCCUUGGGGUCGGGGACAACCACUGGAAACGGUGGCUAAUACCGGAUAAGCCGAUUGGUGAAAGAUUUAUUGCCCGAAGAGGAGCUCGCGUCUGAUUAGCUAGUUGGUGAGGCAAGAGCUCACCAAGGCAGCGAUCAGUAGCUGGUCUGAGAGGACGAUCAGCCACACUGGGACUGAGACACGGCCCAGACUCCUACCGGAGGCAGCAGUGGGGAAUUUUCCGCAAUGGGCGAAAGCCUGACGGAGCAAGACCGCGUGAGGGAGGAAGGCUCUUGGGUUGUAAACCUCUUUUCUCAGGGAAGAAGCUCUGACGGUACCUGAGGAAUCAGCCUCGGCUAACUCCGUGCCAGCAGCCGCGGUAAUACGGAGGAGGCAAGCGUUAUCCGGAAUUAUUGGGCGUAAAGCGUCCGCAGGUGGCGAUUCAAGUCUGCUGUCAAAGCACGGGGCUUAACUCCGUAAAGGCAGUGGAAACUGAAUAGCUAGAGUGCCGUAGGGGUAGAGGGAAUUCCCGGUGUAGCGGUGAAAUGCGUAGAGAUCGGGAAGAACAUCGGUGGCGAAAGCGCUCUACUGGACGGCAACUGACACUCAGGGACGAAAGCUAGGGGAGCGAAUGGGAUUAGAUACCCC
This 660-nucleotide ribosomal RNA is filed under the name uncultured bacterium. RNAcentral describes it as "bacterial SSU rRNA". It matches the Rfam family "Bacterial small subunit ribosomal RNA", at positions 94 to 788 of the family's 1533-position model. The record is from RNAcentral.